ACCCUCGGGUGACAGGGAGGACAGGUGGUGCAUGGUUGUCGUCAGCUCGUGUCGUGAGAUGUUGGGUUAAGUCCCGCAACGAGCGCAACCCCUACGUUUAGUUGCUAACGCGUGAAGGCGAGCACUCUAGACGAACUGCCGUUGACAAAACGGAGGAAGGUGGGGAUGACGUCAAAUCAUCAUGCCCCUUAUGUUCUGGGCUACACACGUGCUACAAUGGCCGGUACAGACGGAGGCGAAGCCGCGAGGCGGAGCAAAUCCGAAAAAGCCGGUCUCAGUUCGGAUUGCAGGCUGCAAUUCGCCUGCAUGAAGUCGGAAUCGCUAGUAAUCGCAGGUCAGCAUACUGCGGUGAAUACGUUCCCGGGCCUU
RNAcentral lists this ribosomal RNA (369 nucleotides) under uncultured Pelotomaculum sp. Its description in RNAcentral is "bacterial SSU rRNA". It matches the Rfam family "Bacterial small subunit ribosomal RNA", at positions 1016 to 1382 of the family's 1533-position model. Lineage: Bacteria; Bacillati; Bacillota; Clostridia; Eubacteriales; Desulfotomaculaceae. The record is from RNAcentral.